RNAcentral lists this ribosomal RNA (1293 nucleotides) under Clavulina pakaraimensis. RNAcentral's name for it is "eukaryotic LSU rRNA". The stretch from base 634 to 1293 matches the Rfam family "Eukaryotic large subunit ribosomal RNA", at positions 1 to 665 of the family's 3401-position model. The record is from RNAcentral. Lineage: Eukaryota; Fungi; Basidiomycota; Agaricomycetes; Cantharellales; Hydnaceae.
CAUUAAUGAGUUUUGAUGGAGGUUUUGAUGCUGGCAGCCGUCUUUCAGGCCGCAUGUGCUCGCCCCCUGACAAAUCAUCUUCCAAACACCUGUGCACAAUUUUGAGGGGGGGUUCAUGGGUUGAUUACCGUGAUUUUGGUGAUUUACUUUCAUUUCCCUCCCUUGAAUUUUUAUACAUUAUAUAUACACUUGUUGCAAUGCUGAACGUGUUUUGCGCCGUAAGGCCUUAAUAAAUUACAACUUUUAACAACGGAUCUCUUGGCUCUCGCAUCGAUGAAGAACGCAGCGAAAUGCGAUAAGUAAUGUGAAUUGCAGAAUUCAGUGAAUCAUCGAAUCUUUGAACGCACCUUGCGCUCCCUGGUAUUCCGGGGAGCACGCCUGUUCGAGUGUCGCGAAAUUUCUCAAGCUUUGGAUGACUUUCUUGUCUGUCCUUUGUCUUGGUUAUUGGGCUCUGCCGUGUUCCUCUAUUGGUACGGCUGGCCUUAAAAGUAUUAGCUGGCCUUCAUGUGAAGCUGGUUCUACUCAGCGUGAUAAUAAUCUGAUCGCCGAGGACAUCUUCUUUUGGGGAUGGCCAGUUUUCGUUUGGGCUGCUUCUAACCUGGUGGUACAGUUCCGUGCCCCACUUUUCGGCUUUGACCUCGAAUCAGGUGGGACUACCCGCUGAACUUAAGCAUAUCAAUAAGCGGAGGAAAAGAAACUAACAAGGAUUCCCCUAGUAACGGCGAGUGAAGCGGGAAGAGCUCAAAUUUAAAAUCUGGCAAUCUUUGGUUGUCCGAAUUGUAAUCUAGAGAAGCGUUUUCCGCGCUGGACUGUGUACAAGUUUCCUGGAUACGGAACAUCAUAGAGGGUGAGAAUCCCGUCCUUGACACAGACUCCCAGUGCUUUGUGAUGCGCUCUCGACGAGUCGAGUUGUUUGGGAUUGCAGCUCAAAAUGGGAGGUAAAUUCCUUCUAAAGCUAAAUAUUGGCGAGAGACCGAUAGCGAACAAGUACCGUGAGGGAAAGAUGAAAAGCACUUUGGAAAGAGAGUUAAACAGUACGUGAAAUUGUUAAAAGGGAAACGCUUGAAGUCAGUCACGUUUGCUUGGACUCAGCCUUACCUCGGUUUGGUGCAUUUCCUUGCAGACGGGCCAGCGUUCAUGUUGUUUGCCGGAGAAGGGGUGAGGGAAUGUGGCUCCUUUGGGAGUGUUAUAGCUCUUACUCGUAUACGGGGGACGAUAUGAAGUGGUACAGCACGCUCCGGUGGUGCUUGUGCUGGCAUAAUGGCUUUAAACGACCCGUCUUGAAAACACGGA